RNAcentral lists this ribosomal RNA (437 nucleotides) under uncultured bacterium. Its description in RNAcentral is "bacterial SSU rRNA". It matches the Rfam family "Bacterial small subunit ribosomal RNA", at positions 339 to 794 of the family's 1533-position model. The record is from RNAcentral.
UUACGGGAGGCAGCAGUGGGGAAUAUUGCACAAUGGGCGAAAGCCUGAUGCAGCAACGCCGCGUGAGCGAUGAAGGCCUUCGGGUCGUAAAGCUCUGUCCUCAAGGAAGAUAAUGACGGUACUUGAGGAGGAAGCCCCGGCUAACUACGUGCCAGCAGCCGCGGUAAUACGUAGGGGGCUAGCGUUAUCCGGAAUUACUGGGCGUAAAGGGUGCGUAGGCGGUCUUUCAAGCCAGAAGUGAAAGGCUACGGCUCAACCGUAGUAAGCUUUUGGAACUGUAGGACUUGAGUGCAGGAGAGGAGAGUGGAAUUCCUAGUGUAGCGGUGAAAUGCGUAGAUAUUAGGAGGAACACCAGUAGCGAAGGCGGCUCUCUGGACUGUAACUGACGCUGAGGCACGAAAGCGUGGGGAGCAAACAGGAUUAGAUACCCCGGUAGA